AAAAUAACCCGUUAACUAUUUGGAUUUAAAUAAGAAAUCCUAAUAAUUAAAUACAAGCGAAUCAAAUAAUUUAAGAAUUAAGUUUAUAAGAGCCCGAGUCAACGGGACUUAAAAUACAACGGGUUUUUAACUCCCGGAACCCACUAAGUUAACUAGGUAAGAUUAACCUAGUUAGUAAUGGGUAAUUAAAUAAUAAACUAUGAGUUAUAGUUUCAUUUAUGAAUAUCUAAACUUGAGGGACCAAAACCGUGAAAAAGGAAACAAGUUUUAUUUAAUAAAAAAUAAUAAUAACACACCACACACGCUAAGUGUGUGGAUCGAUCUCCAGGAGCGACCAGGAGGGUGAAAACCCUAGAACUCAACAAAUCUUGCAAAUUGAAGGUUCAAUUCAAGUCCAAAUCGAAUUCUAAAUAUAGAUUCCUGAUCCUCAUCACAAGGGGAUUACAAGUUUGACGCGUAACAAGCUAGGUGGAAGCUUGAUGAGGGAGCGGAUCAAACAAAUCAAGAAGGAAAGGAAAAGCAUAGUUCGGAUGCGAGAAAUAAAUAUCGAGUGGAUAUUUACAUCGCUAUAGAUAUUGAGGCAAGGUACUUAAAUGGGUCAAUGUAAUGAUCCGAGCCAGGUACUUUUGGAUGCCGGAAGACGAUCAAGCUCAGUGAAGAACCG
Molecule: long non-coding RNA, 664 nt
Organism: Helianthus annuus (common sunflower)
Lineage: Eukaryota; Viridiplantae; Streptophyta; Magnoliopsida; Asterales; Asteraceae
Exons: 4
Source: RefSeq, a predicted model, not a curated record